This is a long non-coding RNA of Papaver somniferum (opium poppy), 1854 nucleotides long. RefSeq lists it as uncharacterized. Lineage: Eukaryota; Viridiplantae; Streptophyta; Magnoliopsida; Ranunculales; Papaveraceae. The transcript is spliced from 3 exons. The record is from RefSeq and is a predicted model, not a curated record.
CAAUCGAGAAGAUUAACUCGUUCUCAGUUUCUUUCUUCUUCUUCUUCUUCUUCAGUAUUCUUCUUCUUUCUCUUUCUUCUUCUUUUUUCAUCUCUCGGUUCUUCCUCUUCUUCUCUUUUUGUCGAUUUCAGUUGAGCGUAAAUUACAUAUGAAUGAUUAUUAGAAAGUGUAUAGAUCGAGGGUUCGAAGGAGUAAGUGAUUAUGCUGUGGUUAAUUGAACACGGGAAGAAGAUGAUAGUGUUGUUUCUGUAAAUCGAAGUUAGGGUUUCUCAAGAUGAACUGGAAGUUCAAUUAGUGUUGAAUAAGAAGAAUUAAGGAGUAGGUUUAGCCGAUUUAGAAACGGGGUGAAGUUAAUUGGAUAUUACAGAGCAGUUCAUGAACAAAUGGAGAAUUAGGUUUUGUAAGAGUAACUCGGGGAAGCUAUAAAAGAUGAAAUUGAUAAUUAGGAAAGGGGAUUUGAGAUGGGUAUUGACCAAUUGAGUGAAUUAGGGUUAAGUAUGAAGAGUAAUUCGAUAUUGAUGGAUGAUUUGAGUUUUAUGAGUUGUGAUGAAGAUCUAGUUUGUGGUGGUGUUACUGGUAGUCGAAUUGAGAACCAAUUGAUCUGAUGGGGUGAUGAUGAUCUUGAGAUGAAUUACUGAACCAAGCAAAGGCAAGGUAGAAUCGGAUUCAACUGCAGGACUCAGUGGUUCAGUUGAAGUUGAACUGAGGUAAUUGCUCUCUCAAUAAUUUAGUAAGGUUAUUGAUUUCAAUUAAUAAGUUUAUAUGCUAUGGAUGCUAAUGAUGAUUAUAUGAUGAAACAUAAGUUUAUAGUAUGUUGAAUCAGGUGAAUGGGUACUAUCUGAGUUGGGGAUUGGAUGAGCUGUUGGUUAUGAAAUUAGUGUUGUUGUUGGUAAGUACAAAUGGUGGUGAUAUUGGUUUGGUGUUGUGGUUGUUAGUAUUAUGAUUGCAGUUGAAAUUAAGCUGAUUGCAGGUUUGUGAUGUGAAUAGCAGGUUGGGAGGUUAUGAUUGAUAUAGUGAUGAUGUUGUUGUUGAAUCUAUUGUGAUGUUUUGGUAUGCAAGGAAAGGUUUGUUGUAGAAAAAUUGUAAUGGUUCUGUCGAGUUGAAGUUAAAGAUUAUGGAGUUAGUAUGGGGAGUUGUAUCUGAUUAUGGAGCUGGUAUAUAGUUGAAAUUCUGAUAGUGUUGUUGUGUUGCUAAUGACUGAGUUGUGGUGAUGUUUGAGCUGGAUUACGAAGAAGUGUGACUAAAGUUAAUUCGUGGUAUGUACAGGUUGAUCUAAGGCUUGCAGUUCAUGAGAAUGGGGUUACUGAGUUUAUAGCUUGUACCACAGGAACUGAAAAUGGGUUGGCUGGUGUUGUAGGAAGAAACUAAAUGUGCAGAGUGUGGAGAAUGGAUGGCUAUGAAUUAUGUAGAUGACCUGCAUCUAGUGGAUUGAACUAUAAGAGUUAUGACCCGGCAAAAGAAGAAUUUGUGAUUGAAGUUUUGGAAUGGGGUUUAGGUGUGUGUGGAGUUGAAUCUCUCUUGUAGGAGGUUAGAAAUGCAAUUGCAGUUAGUAUAUUAGCAACGAUCGAUUCAAAGGAUGAACCGGUGGAUCAUGGAUCUCGAGGUAGGCGUGGCUUGUCAUCAAAAGAGAGACAGAUCAGAGUUGCGCAGCGAAAGCUUUGAGAGUUGAUAUCGUUAUUUGGUUAACCUCUAUUAUGUUUAUUAUAUUGCAUGUUAUAAUUGUAAACCAAAUGGCUAUUGUAUAUGUAUCAUUUGAGAGGAGUUCUUGUAUAUAUAUUUCUGAGCGGGGAUAGUUUUUGGGUUAAGCUUUGUAGCAGAUUUCUUAAUUGAAUGUUAAGUAAAUGUUUUAGAUUU